UACGUAGGGGGCUAGCGUUGUCCGGAAUCAUUGGGCGUAAAGAGCGUGUAGGCGGUUCGAUAAGUCUGCUGUGAAAGUCCAGGGCUCAACCCUGGGAUGCCGGUGGAUACUGUCGGGCUAGAGUACGGAAGAGGCGAGUGGAAUUCCCGGUGUAGCGGUGAAAUGCGCAGAUAUCGGGAGGAACACCAAUUGCGAAGGCAGCUCGCUGGGACGUCACUGACGCUGAGACGCGAAAGCGUGGGGAGCAAACAGG
Molecule: ribosomal RNA, 253 nt
Filed under: uncultured bacterium
Lineage: Bacteria
Description: partial 16S ribosomal RNA
Rfam family: Bacterial small subunit ribosomal RNA
Source: RNAcentral